Molecule: ribosomal RNA, 497 nt
Filed under: uncultured bacterium
Lineage: Bacteria
Description: partial 16S ribosomal RNA
Rfam family: Bacterial small subunit ribosomal RNA
Source: RNAcentral
GAUGAACGCUGGCGGCGUGCCUAAUACAUGCAAGUCGAGCGAACAGACGAGGAGCUUGCUCCUCUGACGUUAGCGGCGGACGGGUGAGUAACACGUGGAUAACCUACCUAUAAGACUGGGAUAACUUCGGGAAACCGGAGCUAAUACCGGAUAAUAUAUUGAACCGCAUGGUUCAAUAGUGAAAUACGGUUUUGCUGUCACUUAUAGCUGGAUCCGCGCUGCAUUAGCUAGUUGGUAAGGUAACGGCGUACCAAGGCUACGAUGCGUAGCCGACGUGAGAGAGUGAUAGGACACACUAGAACUGAGACACGGUCCAGACUACUACGAGAGGCAGCAGUAGGGAAUCUGCCGCAAUGGGCGAGAGCCUGACGGAGCAAGGGCGCGUGAGUGAUAAAGGUCUUCGGAUCGUAAAACUCUGUUAUUAGGGAAAAACAGAUGUGUAAGUAAAUAAGCACGGCUUGACGGUACCUAAUCAGAAAGCCACGGCUAACUACGUG